UACGUAGGGUGCGAGCGUUGUCCGGAAUUACUGGGCGUAAAGAGCUCGUAGGUGGUUUGUCGCGUUGUUCGUGAAAUGCCACAGCUUAACUGUGGGCGUGCGGGCGAUACGGGCAGACUGGAGUACUGCAGGGGAGACUGGAAUUCCUGGUGUAGCGGUGGAAUGCGCAGAUAUCAGGAAGAACACCCGUGGCGAAGGCGGUUCUCUGGGACGGUACUGACGCUGAGACGCGAAAGCGUGGGGAGCGAACAGG
Molecule: ribosomal RNA, 253 nt
Filed under: uncultured bacterium
Lineage: Bacteria
Description: partial 16S ribosomal RNA
Rfam family: Bacterial small subunit ribosomal RNA
Source: RNAcentral